RNAcentral lists this ribosomal RNA (490 nucleotides) under uncultured bacterium. RNAcentral's name for it is "partial 16S ribosomal RNA". It matches the Rfam family "Bacterial small subunit ribosomal RNA", at positions 30 to 507 of the family's 1533-position model. The record is from RNAcentral.
AUUGAACGCUGGCGGCAGGCCUAACACAUGCAAGUCGAACGGUAACAGGAAGCAGCUUGCUGCUUUGCUGACGAGUGGCGGACGGGUGAGUAAUGUCUGGGAAACUGCCUGAUGGAGGGGGAUAACUACUGGAAACGGUAGCUAAUACCGCAUAACGUCGCAAGACCAAAGAGGGGGACCUUCGGGCCUCUUGCCAUCGGAUGUGCCCAGAUGGGAUUAGCUUGCUGGUGGGGUAACGGCUCACCAAGGCGACGAUCCCUAGCUGGUCUGAGAGGAUGACCAGCCACACUGGAACUGAGACACGGUCCAGACUCCUACGGGAGGCAGCAGUGGGGAAUAUUGCACAAUGGGCGCAAGCCUGAUGCAGCCAUGCCGCGUGUAUGAAGAAGGCCUUCGGGUUGUAAAGUACUUUCAGCGGGGAGGAAGGGAGUAAAGUUAAUACCUUUACUCAUUGACGUUACCCGCAGAAGAAGCACCGGCUAACUCCGUG